This 306-nucleotide ribosomal RNA is filed under the name Nodipecten subnodosus. RNAcentral's name for it is "partial 12S ribosomal RNA". It matches the Rfam family "Bacterial small subunit ribosomal RNA", at positions 874 to 1329 of the family's 1533-position model. The record is from RNAcentral. Lineage: Eukaryota; Metazoa; Mollusca; Bivalvia; Pectinida; Pectinidae.
UGGGUACUACGAGCGAGUGCUUAAAACUCAAAGAACUUGGCGGCUUGUUAACUACCUAGGGGAAUAUGCGCCUUAAUCCGAUGGUCCCCGCAACAUCUUACUGGAUCUUGAAAGAGUGCAGUCGGUGUAUUGCCGUUGUCAGCUUGUUGUUCGAGCAAAGAAAAACAGGCUUAAUGGGUCUCUAGGGAUUAGGUUCGUGAGAAUCCAUGAAUUCAGGUCGUAAUGCUGCCUACGGUCCAAGGGAGUGGGUAUUACAAUUUAUAUUUAAAACUACGGAUCUUUAUUGUGAAAUUUUAGGGAAGAAGG